Molecule: ribosomal RNA, 499 nt
Filed under: Curtobacterium sp. WB73
Lineage: Bacteria; Bacillati; Actinomycetota; Actinomycetes; Micrococcales; Microbacteriaceae
Description: bacterial SSU rRNA
Rfam family: Bacterial small subunit ribosomal RNA
Source: RNAcentral
AUGCCCAGCUUGCUGGUUUGAUUAGUGGCGAACGGGUGAGUAACACGUGAGUAACCUGCCCCUGACUCUGGGAUAAGCGUUGGAAACGACGUCUAAUACUGGAUAUGAUCGCCGGCCGCAUGGUCUGGUGGUGGAAAGAUUUUUUGGUUGGGGAUGGACUCGCGGCCUAUCAGCUUGUUGGUGAGGUAAUGGCUCACCAAGGCGACGACGGGUAGCCGGCCUGAGAGGGUGACCGGCCACACUGGGACUGAGACACGGCCCAGACUCCUACGGGAGGCAGCAGUGGGGAAUAUUGCACAAUGGGCGAAAGCCUGAUGCAGCAACGCCGCGUGAGGGAUGACGGCCUUCGGGUUGUAAACCUCUUUUAGUAGGGAAGAAGCGAAAGUGACGGUACCUGCAGAAAAAGCACCGGCUAACUACGUGCCAGCAGCCGCGGUAAUACGUAGGGUGCAAGCGUUGUCCGGAAUUAUUGGGCGUAAAGAGCUCGUAGCGGUUUGUC